AUUUCCUGUAAGUAUUCUCCCAUCAGGUAAAAAAAUCUGUUCUAAUCAGCUUAAUAUCUAUUAAGUCCUACAUCACAGGACUAGGAUAUUAAACUCAUUGUUGGCUCAUGAGGGAGUGCUAAGAGCAUGCUCUACCUCGGUCACAGAAUGCUUCUUUACUUUCGGAAUCUCUUAAACUAACCAAA
Small nuclear RNA from Schistocerca piceifrons (Central American locust), 185 nucleotides. RefSeq annotates it as U2 spliceosomal RNA. NCBI's taxonomy places the organism in Eukaryota, Metazoa, Arthropoda, Insecta, Orthoptera, Acrididae. The transcript has a single exon. The record is from RefSeq and is a predicted model, not a curated record.